UUUAAUGAGAGUUUGAUCCUGGCUCAGGACGAACGCUGGCGGCGUGCCUAAUACAUGCAAGUAGAACGCUGAGGUUUGGUGUUUACACUAGACUGAUGAGUUGCGAACGGGUGAGUAACGCGUAGGUAACCUGCCUCAUAGCGGGGGAUAACUAUUGGAAACGAUAGCUAAUACCGCAUAAGAGUAAUUAACACAUGUUAGUUAUUUAAAAGGAGCAAUUGCUUCACUGUGAGAUGGACCUGCGUUGUAUUAGCUAGUUGGUGAGGUAAAGGCUCACCAAGGCGACGAUACAUAGCCGACCU
RNAcentral lists this ribosomal RNA (302 nucleotides) under Streptococcus agalactiae. Its description in RNAcentral is "partial 16S ribosomal RNA". It matches the Rfam family "Bacterial small subunit ribosomal RNA", at positions 1 to 293 of the family's 1533-position model. Lineage: Bacteria; Bacillati; Bacillota; Bacilli; Lactobacillales; Streptococcaceae. The record is from RNAcentral.